UCGUCUGAUGAAAAAAUUGAACUUGCUGUGUUCUUUCUGUAAUCACAUUGAGGAAAAUAUCACCUUGGAGAACUGAAAU
RNAcentral lists this small nucleolar RNA (79 nucleotides) under Pyrenochaeta sp. DS3sAY3a. RNAcentral describes it as "A. fumigatus snoRNA Afu_294". It matches the Rfam family "A. fumigatus snoRNA Afu_294". The record is from Rfam by way of RNAcentral. Lineage: Eukaryota; Fungi; Ascomycota; Dothideomycetes; Pleosporales; Cucurbitariaceae.